GCCUGUUUAUCAAAAACAUGGCUCUUUGUAGAAAAUAAAUAAAGAGUCGGACCUGCCCAGUGAUAAUUUUCAACGGCCGCGGUACCCUGACCGUGCAAAGGUAGCAUAAUCAUUUGCCUUGUAAUUUAAGGCUAGUAUGAAAGGUUUGACAAGAAUAUAACUGUCUCCUUUUGGUUUAAUAGAAUUUUACUUAUAAGUGAAGAGACUUAUAUACAAUUAAUAGACAAGAAGACCCUAUCGAGCUUGAAAGAAAUUAAUAGAAGUUAAAUAAAAUAAUAAAUAAAAUUAGAUCUAUUAAAAAUUUUGGUUGGGGCGACUUAGGAACAAAUAAAGCUUCCUACCUGAUUUAAACCGUCAAGUAAUGAUCCAGAAAAUUUUGAUCAAAGAAAUUAGUUACCGUAGGGAUAACAGCAUUAUCUUUUUUGAGAGCUCUUAUCGAAAAAAAGGUUUGUGACCUCGAUGUUGGACCAGAAUAUCCUAAAGAUGUAGCAGUCUUUAAAGGUUGGUCUGUUCGACCAUUAAAAUUCUACGUGAUCUGAGUUCA
RNAcentral lists this ribosomal RNA (544 nucleotides) under Vexillum virgo. RNAcentral describes it as "partial 16S ribosomal RNA". It matches the Rfam family "Bacterial large subunit ribosomal RNA", at positions 1798 to 2613 of the family's 2925-position model. The record is from RNAcentral. Lineage: Eukaryota; Metazoa; Mollusca; Gastropoda; Neogastropoda; Costellariidae.